RNAcentral lists this ribosomal RNA (419 nucleotides) under uncultured bacterium. Its description in RNAcentral is "partial 16S ribosomal RNA". It matches the Rfam family "Bacterial small subunit ribosomal RNA", at positions 360 to 771 of the family's 1533-position model. The record is from RNAcentral.
AAUCUUCCACAAUGGACGAAAUUCUGAUGGAGCAACGCCGCGAGAGUGAAGAAGGUUUUCGGAACGUAAAGCUCUGUUGUAAGGGAAGAACACGUACAGGAACAACUGCCUGUACCUUUACUGUACCUUACCAGAAAGCCACGGCUAACUACCUUCCAGCAGCCGCGGUAAUACGUAGGUGGCAAGCGUUGUCCGGAAUUAUUGGGCGUAAAGCGCGCGCAGGCGGUCCUUUAAGUCUGAUGUGAAAGCCCACGGCUCAACCGUGGAGGGUCAUUGGAAACUGGAGGACUUGAGUACAGAAGAGGAAAGCGGAAUUCCACGUGUAGCGGUGAAAUGCGUAGAGAUGUGGAGGAACACCAGUGGCGAAGGCGGCUUUCUGGUCUGUAACUGACGCUGAGGCGCGAAAGCGUGGGGAGCAA